Hydractinia symbiolongicarpus is the source of this 2825-nucleotide long non-coding RNA. RefSeq lists it as uncharacterized. The record is from RefSeq and is a predicted model, not a curated record. Lineage: Eukaryota; Metazoa; Cnidaria; Hydrozoa; Anthoathecata; Hydractiniidae. The transcript has 2 exons.
UCUAAUCACAUGACUACUAAGUUGCUUAGAACUUUCACAAGAAAAUCUUUAUAUGCUAUUCUUUAACUAGAACACAACAGACUUUAACUGCGUCCUACAGGACUGAACUAUGAUCUGAGCGACGCGUCUGUUUACGUGAAUGUCUCGGGGCGAGAAACACGGCGAAAGGUGCUUGUAUGCCCGUGAACAGGAAAAUAUACCAGCAGGUAGCAGUCACUGAUGCUUACUGCCCUUGUUCUGUUAAUAAUCCAUGGGAGUAGCCCAUUUUGACCCAGUUGUAAAUAAAAGAAGUGCUGCAAUGAACAGUUCUGGUAAGUUAAUAAAUAAGGUAGCAUUUGCUUAUUUGUAUAAAAUCUCGCUAGUAUUAGUAGAGAACGAUCUCGUAUGUCGUUUGCAAGUAGCAAAAGAAAACGAUGUAGUAAUGUUACGCACACAUUUGGCAGUCAAGUAUGUCCGAUGGGUGUCAUGGGACUAUACUCGUCUAUGUGUACAAGUGAAGACAUGACUAAAAGUAAUUGAUUGUAGCAUAUGUUGUCAUUAUGUAGUAGACAUUAAUCACUGAGCAUGGCAGUAAACAUAGAUGUGUCAAAGCGGUAGGUUAGAGUAAAAGCAAUACCAAGAUUCUUUUCAGGAAUAUAUAGACUGCGGGUAGGUGACGCCGGUUUUUACCUCAAAGGUGCACUUAAAUACCGUUCUAUUGACUAAACAAGGGCUUAAUUUCUUUUUUGCGAGGUUAGUAAAAUAUUCGCAAAAGAAAAUGUACGAUGGAACUGCUUUUUCAUUUUCUUGACGAGAAAAAACGGAGAUAGUCGUGUUACUAUUCUUUUCCGUUUGUUUAUUAAUUUUCCCAAUUUAGAGUUUUAAACUCCAGCUAAACAAUAACAAACAAGCAUCAAUUCCGUUAUGUUUAUACCUUUUUCCAAUUGUUGUUUCAAAACUUAUUUUUUCAUUAUAUAUAUUUAUUUUUGCUCAAUUGAUUGCUAAAGCAACAAACUUUGUGGAUUGUAUUCACAAGAAAAGGAACAAAAGUGGUUGCUAUGUUGAUAUUGAAAACAAAAUUAGAUACAUACAAAUAAAUAAUUUUGUUGAUGUCUAUGUUAGAGUGCUAUGGUUAGAGAUAGUCAAACUGUUAUUACAACUCCACAAAAAGGAUUAACGAAAAUUAUGAAACCGGAGAUUUAGUACUACGAAUUAAAAUAUUCUUGUGUUCACGGUGGAAGAAAACUCAAAGGAAGAGGUUCUUGACAACGAGCUGUUCAGUAUAUGUUUUGUUUUUAUUAAUUACCAACCUCGUUUCCAGACCUUUUUUAUUACUUUGUUCUACUAACCGAAUUUUUAUAUUUUUUUUAGUACUAUAAAGCAAGACUGCAAGUUUUCACUUCCUUAGCUAGUAGAUGAAUCUGGACAAUUUUAAGAAGUCAUAGAAAUUCACGCAUAAUCACGAAUUAAAUGCGAUAACAAAUCAAAGUUGGACGUAAAAUGCGCUGUUUGGAAAUUUGACCUGUCGUUUGUCCCAGGAUUUAUGAAGAUUAAUUCAACAGUUGAAGGGUGGAAAUAAAUCCGAUAAAAUAGGCAUCUAUGUCAUGUGUUAAGUACGCUAAGAUGUUUUCCCGCCACAUUCCAGUUAAUUUAACUUUACUUUUCUACCAACUUCGUCCUUAGGGGGUUUUGCUGGUUUGAUAUCCUGACCGUUAAGUAAGCGCUAGCGGCUAUGACAUAGGCAACAGACCCUAGGGACGAGAAUUCUUUUCUACAUUUUGAGAAUCACUUUAAAACAAAACUUUGCUUUCAAUUUGGUACAUGGAAAAAACAGUGAAAUAUCGAUCCUGUUUUCAAACUAAUCUUAGACUUAGCAAGAAUGCGUCACGAGAAAAAGAUGAGAAUUCCCAGGAGCAAAUUAAUUGGCAGUUCGCUUACACUUUCUUUUGGGAGGGAUGUACUUUAUUUUAUACUAUUUCAGCCUUUAAUGUCUUGUUGUGUUCUUCAGAAAAAAUUACAAAAUCCAUUUUCAUAAUUUAAUGCCAGUUGCGAAAUUCAUUUUCAAAGUUAUUGUUAGUUCUAUACUACGUUAUUUUGUUUUUAUUAUCUAUGAAGAAAUUCUGACUAAGAAUUUCCUUAACAUGUUCUUUAUUUUUGACACAAUCUUCAUCUCAAAGUGUUUUAGUACAACCUUCUUAUUAAAAUAUUAUCUUUUUUUGUUUAUGAAAAGCAAAACAAAUAUUCCUGAAGCGUGUAUUUUGUGUAUAACUUUUAGUUUUAUAAACAACCCAAAGAUUUUGCAGAUCCUAAACUGUUCCUCACUUGUUUCUUCUUGACUAUCUAUCUACAAACGAAAGACGGCAGACCAUUUGGAACCAUGCCACAAGUCAGUCCGACCUUCAUCGUCACAGAGAAUACUGCGAGAAGAGUGCGCACCCAUGCAAGUUAAAUAAAACCAGAAAAUGGGAGAGGUUAGGUUCUGUGAAAUUAACUUUUUAGACGAAUGUUCCUAUAAACAAUUAUCAUACCGACGAGUGUGCUUGGGAUGGGUCGUUAGCUUAAUUAUUUGUUUUAUAUAAUAUUUUUAACUCUUUUUACUUUCGUCUACCUGACCACAUGAUAUGUUUAAAGUUCAUAUCGCUUUACUUACGUAAAAGCCCGUAAUGGCUGUAAUUGAAUAUGUUUUGUUUUUAGUUUCGUGUAUUAGACCACGAUAUUGUCUAUGCGUAAAAUCAUCUAGCGUAAACACACUCCUUCGUAUAAUUCAAAAAUAAUUUUUAUCUUUUUUAGUACACACCUAUUUUGUAUUUAUCUGUCAGAAAACUUACCUUAUUGUUUUCAUUGAA